This 468-nucleotide ribosomal RNA is filed under the name uncultured bacterium. RNAcentral's name for it is "partial 16S ribosomal RNA". It matches the Rfam family "Bacterial small subunit ribosomal RNA", at positions 28 to 507 of the family's 1533-position model. The record is from RNAcentral.
GACGAACGCUGGCGGCGUGCUUAACACAUGCAAGUCGAACGGAAAGUCCCGGCUUUUUUGGGCGCCUCUGGGGGCGAACGGGGAAUUAACCCUUGAGUAACCUGCCCUUGACUUAGGGAUAACUUCAGGAAACUGGGGCUAAUCCCGCCAAGGAGCUCCUGCUGCUUGGUGGGGGUGGGAAAGUUUCGGCGGUUGGGGAUGGACUCGCGGCUUAUCAGCUUGUUGGUGGGGUAGUGGCUUACCAAGGCUUUGACGGGUAGCCGGCCUGAGAGGGUGACCGGACAAAUUGGGACUGAGAUACGGCCCAGACUCGAACGGGAGGCAGGAGUGGGGAAUAUUGCACAAUGGGCGGAAGCCUGAUGCAGCAACGCCGCGUGCGGGAUGACAGCCUUCGGGUUGUAAACCGCUUUCGCCUGUGACGAAGCGUGAGUGACGGUAAUGGGUAAAGAAGCACCGGCUAACUACGUG